Molecule: ribosomal RNA, 488 nt
Filed under: uncultured bacterium
Lineage: Bacteria
Description: partial 16S ribosomal RNA
Rfam family: Bacterial small subunit ribosomal RNA
Source: RNAcentral
GACGAACGCUGGCGGCGUGCUUAACACAUGCAAGUCGAACGGAAAGGCCCUGCUUUUGUGGGGUGCUCGAGUGGCGAACGGGUGAGUAACACGUGAGUAACCUGCCCUUGACUUUGGGAUAACUUCAGGAAACUGGGGCUAAUACCGGAUAGGAGCUCCUGCUGCAUGGUGGGGGUUGGAAAGUUUCGGCGGUUGGGGAUGGACUCGCGGCUUAUCGGCUUGUUGGUGGGGUAGUGGCUUUCCAAGGCUGUGAUGGGUAGCCGGCCUGAGUGGGUGACCGGCCACACUGGAAGUGAGACACGGCCCAGUGGCCUACGGGAGGCAGCAGUAGGCAAUCGGGCGCAAGGGGCGGGAGACUGUCGGAGCAGGGCCGCGUGCGGGAUGAAGGUCCCCGGGUCGGAAAACUCGGUUAUUAGGUAGGAACCCGUUUUUCCGUGACUAGACACGUCGUGGCGGUAACUGGUUAAAAAACCACGGCUAACUACGUG